GUAGUCGGCCCAAAUAAGCUAUUGGUGAAAUCCUUGAGCUCAACUUGAGGGCGUGCCGGUAGAACUAUUCGGCUUGGGAGUGGGGGAGGUUAGAAGUACGCUUGGGGUAGGGGUUAAAUCCGUUAAUCCUAGGCGGACUAGCAGUGGCGAAGGCGUCUAACCAAAACAGGUCCGACGAUGAGGUGCGAAGGCUAGGGGAGCAAACGGGAUUAGAUACCCCGGUAGUCCUAGCUGUAAAUGAUGUAGAUUUGGUGUUACGUUAGCCUCGAGCUGACGUAGUGCCGUA
This 286-nucleotide ribosomal RNA is filed under the name uncultured archaeon SYA_2000_2. Its description in RNAcentral is "partial 16S ribosomal RNA". It matches the Rfam family "Archaeal small subunit ribosomal RNA", at positions 521 to 805 of the family's 1478-position model. The record is from RNAcentral.